Long non-coding RNA from Xenia sp. Carnegie-2017, 305 nucleotides. RefSeq lists it as uncharacterized. The transcript is spliced from 2 exons. The record is from RefSeq and is a predicted model, not a curated record. Lineage: Eukaryota; Metazoa; Cnidaria; Anthozoa; Malacalcyonacea; Xeniidae.
UAAAUUCGCAUGCAUGUUUAGUCUGUGCGGUUUCGAGUUCUUUAGUUUCUGUCCAGUGAAGUGUGAAUAUACACACUAACAUUGUACUGUCUUGCACGAAAAUACUGUAAAAUACAGGCAAACAAGGUUUGAAAAUAUUUUGCAAACUGAACAUCAGAUCGGAAAUAAAAGUUUGUCCCAGCAACCAACAAAUGAAGCAGUAGUCUUACAAGAAAGUCACAGAUAGAUAUAUACCGCAAUGAAUAUAACAACAUAUAUAUAGCCAAAUUGACCAACAAUAACGAAACCCAAAUUAACCUACAAAA